RNAcentral lists this ribosomal RNA (253 nucleotides) under uncultured bacterium. Its description in RNAcentral is "partial 16S ribosomal RNA". It matches the Rfam family "Bacterial small subunit ribosomal RNA", at positions 524 to 776 of the family's 1533-position model. The record is from RNAcentral.
UACAGAGGGUGCGAGCGUUGUUCGGAAUUAUUGGGCGUAAAGGGCGCGUAGGCGGUGCGGUAAGUCACCUGUGAAAUCUCCUGGCUCAACUGGGAGCUUGCAGGCGAAACUGCCGUGCUGGAGUGUGGGAGAGGGGCGUGGAAUUCCUGGUGUAGCGGUGAAAUGCGUAGAUAUCAGGAGGAACACCUGUGGCGAAAGCGGGGCGCUGGACCGCAACUGACGCUGAGGCGCGAAAGCUAGGGGAGCAAACAGG